GUGAGGAAUAUUGCGCAAUGGAGGCAACUCUGACGCAGCCAUGCCGCGUGCAGGAAGAAGGCGCUACGCGUUGUAAACUGCUUUUAACCGGGAAGAAACCCCAGGACGUGUCCUGGGUUGACGGUACCGGAGGGAUAAGCACCGGCUAACUUCGUGCCAGCAGCCGCGGUAAUACGAAGGGUGCAAGCGUUAUCCGGAUUCAUUGGGUUUAAAGGGUGCGUAGGCGGAGCGUUAAGUCAGUGGUGAAAUCCUGCAGCUUAACUGUAGACUUGCCAUUGAUACUGGCGCUCUUGAGUGCGCUUGAAGUGGGCGGAAUGUGCCGUGUAGCGGUGAAAUGCUUAGAUAUGGCACAGAACACCAAUUGCGAAGGCAGCUCACUAAGGCGAUACUGACGCUGAGGCACGAAAGCGUGGGGAUCGAACAGGAUUAGAAACCCGGGUAGUCC
Molecule: ribosomal RNA, 445 nt
Filed under: uncultured bacterium
Lineage: Bacteria
Description: bacterial SSU rRNA
Rfam family: Bacterial small subunit ribosomal RNA
Source: RNAcentral